This 2001-nucleotide ribosomal RNA is filed under the name Triticum aestivum (bread wheat). RNAcentral's name for it is "partial small subunit ribosomal RNA". The record is from RNAcentral. Lineage: Eukaryota; Viridiplantae; Streptophyta; Magnoliopsida; Poales; Poaceae.
AUGUUCUCGUGGGCCCGUAGCAAGCAGUCCUCACCCGCCUCCUCCUCCGGCCGCCGCGGCGGGGACGCCGCCGCCGCCGCCAUGGACUCCGGCAGCAGCCGCCGCAGCGGCGGCGGGAGCGGGCACGGGAGCGGCCACGGCAGCGGGAGUGGGAGCGGGAGCGGGAGCCGCGGACGCAGCCCGCGGCUGGAGCGGCGCAACGCGGCGAAGCACAUCGACUACGAGGUGGGCGCGGCGGCGACGUCCGUGUCCGCCUCGUGGUCGACCUCGUCGUCGGAGCGCUCGCCGGGGGCCCGGCCGACGCGCUCGCUCGACCUCGCGGCCAGGGGCGGCCGCGCGGACUUCCGCAUCAACGGCAGCGCGGAGGGGGAGGUCGACGAGCUCUGCCGCAGCCUGGGGCUGUCGGGGCCCGAGGACUUCGCCAUCCCCGUCGCCGCCUGGGAGGCCCGCAAGGCGCGCUCCAGCUCCGACCUCCUCGCCCGCCCCCGCCCGGACCCGGACUCGUCGGCUCCUCCCGGGGAGGAGCCCGCCCCCGUCGUCCGCACCGUCUCCGCCCCCGAGGUCCCGUGGCCCGCGCCUCACUCCUUCCCCGACCCCAUUCCCGAGGAGUCCAUCCACUCCUCCUCCGCUUCCACCGCCACUGCCACUGACUCGGUGGACGAACCCAUCAUCGCGCCGCCGGAGGAAUCCCCCAAAGCUACCCGUGCGGUUGCUGUUGCGGCGCCCGUCGCGGCCUUGUCACUUCCCUCGCCGAGAAGGGGCGGCGGGGAGGUCGGGAUCCGGGGCGUCCGGCCGCCAGUGCUCUCCCCGCCUCCGCCGAUCACGGGACUCGCGCCGCCACCGGCGAGGCAGUCGUCUGUGGCUGAGAUCAUGAGCGGGUCGGCCUGGGACAUUGUGAACUCGUUCGCUCCCACGGAGGAGAAUAGUGAACUGAGAAUGGCCUAUGGACAUGCUGAAACAUCUCACAUGUCAGACACAGAGGAGGAUAAUCCUGAGGAGAACGAUGAAGGAUUGACGGGGCUUGAGGGGGAGCUUAAAGGCUGGAGGGUAGGGGAGACCUUUGAAGGGUUCACCGGGACAUCCUCAUUGUCGACAACAAAUGAUGAUGAUGCAUCUAGCACGAAUACAGAGGCCGUGUUCGUCAUCUCGCCGAAUGGCAAGUUCAAGCGGAACAUCAAGUCAUGGAUGCGUGGUGCACUUCUGGGAAGUGGCUCAUUCGGGAUGGUGUACGAAGGGAUCAGUGAUGAAGGUGCGUUCUUUGCUGUUAAGGAAGUAUCGUUGCUUGACCAAGGAAGCAAUGCACAGCAAUCUAUUCUUUCACUUGAACAGGAAAUCGCUCUCCUUAGUCAGUUUGAACAUGAAAACAUAGUCCAGUAUUAUGGAACUGACAAGGAAGAAUCAAAACUCUACAUUUUUAUUGAGCUUGUUACACAAGGUUCUCUUUCAUCCCUCUAUCAAAAGUAUAAACUGCGAGACUCACAAGUCUCUGCGUACACAAGGCAGAUUCUCAAUGGAUUGGUUUAUCUCCAUGAGAGGAAUGUGGUCCACAGAGAUAUCAAAUGCGCCAAUAUAUUGGUUCAUGCAAAUGGAUCGGUAAAACUUGCAGAUUUUGGGUUGGCAAAGGAGAUGUCUAAAAUUAAUAUGCUGAGAUCAUGCAAAGGAAGUGUUUAUUGGAUGGCACCUGAGGUUGUUAAUCCUAGAAAAACAUAUGGGCCUGCAGCUGAUAUGUGGAGCUUGGGCUGCACUGUGUUGGAAAUGCUAACCCGCCAAAUACCAUAUCCCAAUGUCGAGUGGACAAAUGCUUUCUUUAUGAUUGGCAAAGGAGAACAACCACCCAUUCCCAGCCACUUGUCAGCAGAAGCUCAAGAUUUCAUACGCCAAUGUGUACGAGUCGAUCCAGACGAGCGACCUUCCGCAUCACAACUUUUGGCGCACCCAUUUGUUAACCGGCCACUUCGAGCUUCUUUUGAUUCUUUGUCUCCUCCGAUCAAUAGGCCCUAG